This 258-nucleotide ribosomal RNA is filed under the name uncultured bacterium. RNAcentral describes it as "partial 16S ribosomal RNA". It matches the Rfam family "Bacterial small subunit ribosomal RNA", at positions 100 to 354 of the family's 1533-position model. The record is from RNAcentral.
CAACGGGUGAGUAACACGUGGGCAACCUGCCCAAANAGGGGAUAACACUUGGAAACAGGUGCUAAUACCGCAUAACCAUAGUUACCGCAUGGUAACUAUGUAAAAGGUGGCUAUGCUACCGCUUUUGGAUGGGCCCGCGGCGCAUUAGCUAGUUGGUGGGGUAAAGGCUUACCAAGGCAAUGAUGCGUAGCCGAACUGAGAGGUUGAUCGGCCACAUUGGGACUGAGACACGGCCCAAACUCCUACGGGAGGCAGCAG